GGCCGCCUGGCGAAAUGGCAUCGCGUCUGACUACGAUGUUUAAAACUUCGUUGUCUUCAUCAGGAGAUUGCAGGUUCGACCCCUGCGGUGGUCA
This 94-nucleotide transfer RNA is filed under the name Lentinula raphanica. It matches the Rfam family "tRNA". Rfam says of the family: Transfer RNA (tRNA) molecules are approximately 80 nucleotides in length. Lineage: Eukaryota; Fungi; Basidiomycota; Agaricomycetes; Agaricales; Omphalotaceae. The record is from Rfam by way of RNAcentral.